CAAUAGCGUAUAUUAAAGUUGUUGCAGUUAAAAAGCUCGUAGUUGGAUUUGUGGUUCGUCCCGCCGGCUGGGUCAUUGACUUUUGCUGUGCUGGUCGUCCAUCCUUGGGUGGAAUCUGUGUGGCAUUAGGUUGUCGCGCAGGGGAUGCCCAUCGUUUACUGUGAAAAAAUUAGAGUGUUCAAAGCAGGCUUAUGCCGUUGAAUAUAUUAGCAUGGAAUAAUAAUAUAGGACCUUGGUACUAUUUUGUUGGUUUGCGCACUGAGGUAAUGAUUAAUAGGGACAGUUGGGGGUAUUCGUAUUCCAUUGUAAGAGGUGAAAUUCUUGGAUUUUUGGAAGACGAACUACUGCGAAAGCAUUUACCAAGGAUGUUUUCAUUA
This 377-nucleotide ribosomal RNA is filed under the name uncultured eukaryote. RNAcentral describes it as "partial 18S ribosomal RNA". It matches the Rfam family "Eukaryotic small subunit ribosomal RNA", at positions 592 to 975 of the family's 1831-position model. The record is from RNAcentral.